This 377-nucleotide ribosomal RNA is filed under the name uncultured bacterium. RNAcentral describes it as "partial 16S ribosomal RNA". It matches the Rfam family "Bacterial small subunit ribosomal RNA", at positions 547 to 928 of the family's 1533-position model. The record is from RNAcentral.
UGAUGCGUCCUCAGAGCCGGGUGGCGGYGUGGUUAAGGAAUUGGCGGGGGAGCACAUAACUCCGUUUCUGCGGUGGAUACUGCAAGGCUUGAGUGUGGUAGAGGCRGACGGAAUUCCCGGUGUAGCGGUGAAAUGCGUAGAUAUCUUGGAAGAACACCAGUGGCGAAGGCGSUCUGCUGGGCCAUAACUGACGCUCAUGGACGAAAGCUDGGGGAGCGAACGGGAUUAGAUACCCCGGUAGUCCUMGCCGUAAACGAUGAACACUAGGUGUCGGGGGAAUCGACCCCCUCGGUGUCGUAKCUAACGCGUUAAGUGUUCCGCCUGGGGAGUACGCACGCARGUGUAAAACUCAWAGGARUUGGCGGGGGAGCACAACA